Molecule: ribosomal RNA, 253 nt
Filed under: uncultured bacterium
Lineage: Bacteria
Description: partial 16S ribosomal RNA
Rfam family: Bacterial small subunit ribosomal RNA
Source: RNAcentral
UACGUAGGUGGCAAGCGUUGUCCGGAUUUACUGGGCGUAAAGGGCUCGUAGGCGGCCAACUAAGUCAGACGUGAAAUCCCUCGGCUUAACCGGGGAACUGCGUCUGAUACUGGAUGGCUUGAGAUUGGGAGAGGGAUGCGGAAUUCCAGGUGUAGCGGUGAAAUGCGUAGAUAUCUGGAGGAACACCGGUGGCGAAGGCGGCAUCCUGGACCAACACUGACGCUGAGGAGCGAAAGCCAGGGGAGCAAACGGG